RNAcentral lists this ribosomal RNA (392 nucleotides) under uncultured bacterium. Its description in RNAcentral is "partial 16S ribosomal RNA". It matches the Rfam family "Bacterial small subunit ribosomal RNA", at positions 523 to 918 of the family's 1533-position model. The record is from RNAcentral.
AUACGGAGGAUUCGAGCGUUAUCCGGAUUUAUUGGGUUUAAAGGGUGCGCAGGCGGCCAUUUAAGUCAGCGGUUAAAUCGUGGGGCUCAACCCCAUUCUGCCGUUGAUACUGGGUGGCUUGAUUGCGGUCGAGGUUGGCGGAAUUCGUUGUGUAGCGGUGAAAUGCAUAGAUAUGACGAAGAACACCGAUUGCGUAGGCAGCUGACCAGACCGCAAAUGACGCUCAUGCACGAAAGUGCGGGGAUCGAACAGGAUUAGAUACCCUGGUAGUCCGCACAGUAAACGAUGAAUACUUGUUUUCGGCGAUAUAAUGUCGGAGGCAAAGCGAAAGCGAUAAGUAUUCCACCUGGGGAGUACGCCGGCAACGGUGAAACUCAAAUGAAUUGACGGGG